This 397-nucleotide ribosomal RNA is filed under the name uncultured bacterium. RNAcentral's name for it is "partial 16S ribosomal RNA". It matches the Rfam family "Bacterial small subunit ribosomal RNA", at positions 523 to 918 of the family's 1533-position model. The record is from RNAcentral.
AUACGUAGGUGACAAGCGUUAUCCGGAUUUACUGGGCGUAAAGGGAGUGUAGGCGGUCUUGUAAGUCAGAAGUGAAAUUCCUGGGCUCAACUGGGGAGUUGAUUCGGAAACUGCAGGACUUGAGUGCUGCAGGGGAGAGCGGCAUUCCAUGUGGAGCGGUGAAAUGCGCAGAUAUAAGGAGGAACACCGGAGGCGAAGGGGGCUAUCUCUAGAGUAACUGACGCGCAGGCGCUAAAGCGCGUGGGGAACAAAGAAUUAGAUACCCUGGUAGCCCACGCCGUAAACGAUGAAUACUAGAAGUAGGGGGUAUCGACUCCCUCAGUGCCGCAGUUAACACAAUAAGUAUUCCGCCUGGGGAGUACGGCCGCAAGGUUGAAACUCAAAUGAAUUGACGGGG